GAUAAGUGCGGGCGAUGUCUCUGCGAAUCAGCUUCUCGCAGGGCGACGUCAUCUUCAGGAGCUCCGAGUACUGAUCCUUGAUGGGCAUAUUCUGGGCAUUACACAACAGCUGCCACACGAUUGCCCGAAAGUGGAUCCAAGAGUCCUCCUCGAGGUGGGAGAGGUUGGAGGAGGCAGAGGAGCUGGACACCAGGGAGGAGCCACUGUUUCGUCUGGAGCCAUUCAUGGAGCGCAGCGACUUGCUGUCUGUCUCCAGCAGCCUGUCGUAAAGAGGGUGGAGGAGGAACAGACGCAAGUGGGGGAAACGUGGAUGCCAGAUAAGUCAUUCCCCAGCUGCAAUGACGGUAUAGACACACCGAGAUAUGGACAACCCGGAAACACUGACCAUUGAGAGCAGACUGGAAACAGAGUGUUUCAGACAGAGGGCCACACAACCACCAGACACCACAAUGAAUCAUCGAGCAUUCCGUUACAGUAACCUGCUGACACUUGACAGAGUGAUGUAGGUUUUACAUUUUGUGGUAUACCGCCAACAACAGCAUGAAAAACAAGUACUUGGAUCGGUGCUCCUUAAUAGCCAAUCUGCUGUCAUCAAAACAAGCCGCUACAGAGAGAAUGCUAGCAUUGUGUCUGCAGUCUUCCUCUUUGAGAGCAAAGAAGAAAACAUGAGGUUUCUUCACAGACCGACUCCCAAUGUGGGACACCAUGCAGAACUAAAUGGGGGAGAGAAAAGAUGACCACGUAGACUAAACACCACGUGGGGCCAAGUGGAGGUUAAGGCAAUGAAUGAGGACAAACUGUGUGGCCCAGCAGGAGAGAGCAUGGCCAUCUUCAGGGAAACAUGCUGUCCAUGUGCUGUGUGAGGAGGAAGAGAUCUCUGCGGAUAAUUUGGCUCACGUGUAAAUCACCGGGUCUGUUUGUUUUGGAGAGGAGGAGACAACUGUGGAUAAGUCGGCUCCUGGUAAAGAACUCCUGAAAAAAUAAAUCAGACAAAAGAGGAGGAGAGCUCUGCGGAUAAUUUGCCUACCAUUAAAAAUGUCCUGAACUUCUGGAUUUGAAGUUAUCAGAAAAGAAAGGUGAGCAGACAUUAGCAGGCACUGGGCUAGAGGCCUGUCUGGGACUUAUCAAACAGCACUGGAGAAACACUCAUUCAUUACGUGAAACUGCUUUUUCAGUGUUUUUACCAAUUGAAAUCACCUUGCCCGUUUGUUUUG
Long non-coding RNA from Epinephelus fuscoguttatus (brown-marbled grouper), 1214 nucleotides. RefSeq lists it as uncharacterized. The record is from RefSeq and is a predicted model, not a curated record. Lineage: Eukaryota; Metazoa; Chordata; Actinopteri; Perciformes; Serranidae. The transcript has 10 exons.